RNAcentral lists this ribosomal RNA (352 nucleotides) under Allenoconcha basispiralis. Its description in RNAcentral is "partial large subunit ribosomal RNA". It matches the Rfam family "Bacterial large subunit ribosomal RNA", at positions 1832 to 2541 of the family's 2925-position model. Lineage: Eukaryota; Metazoa; Mollusca; Gastropoda; Stylommatophora; Microcystidae. The record is from RNAcentral.
AGUUUUAUGAGAAUAUAUAAAAUGAAUUCUGCCCAAUGAUUAGUUUAAUGGCCGCAGUACUUUAACUGUGCUAAGGUAGCAUAAUAAUUUGGCUUUUAAUUAAGGUCUGGUAUGAAAGGAUUUUAUGGGUAAUAACUGUCUUUAUUUAACUUUUAAAAAUUUACUUAAAAGGUGAAAAUUCCUUUAAUAUUAAAAUAGACGAGAAGACCCUAGGAGUUUUCAUUUUGUUGGGGCGACAUUUUAGUAAAUAACCUAAGAAAAAAAUUUGACGAAUAUAUCAAUUAUAAAUAAACUACCCUAGGGAUAACAGCAUAAUAAUAUUUUUUGUUUGUGACCUCGAUGUUGGACUAGG